Molecule: long non-coding RNA, 1233 nt
Organism: Sinocyclocheilus grahami
Lineage: Eukaryota; Metazoa; Chordata; Actinopteri; Cypriniformes; Cyprinidae
Exons: 2
Source: RefSeq, a predicted model, not a curated record
GCAAACCUAACAAUGACUCACGAGUGAGUCUUCAUGACUGACUGGUUAAAUGAAGCUGUUCAUACGUGUGUGUGUGUGAGUCAGUCAUCAUGCUCACGUCGUGAUCUCUCUCUAAAGCCGAGACGCCAGCAUUCAUCGAUUAGUCAUGUUAAAGUGGCCUUUCCCACACUUUGAGAACUUGACGCACACAUUGUACAAUCACAGCUCAUCUCGUGCUCCCUUUAGAUGUUUUUGACCGCUGUUCUUCUGAUUUUUAGGGCCAGACUUCAAUCCCAUUGCAAUUCAUAACUUUUAUGACAACCUUGGAUUCUUGGGUCCUGUUCCUCCUAAACCUCUCAAAGGUCCUGCGAAACAAGAGGGCAGCCGGAGCGCCAGGCUCGUGUCGGAGCCCGAGGAGGACGACGGUGUUCAGUGGAGCUGCACUGCCUGCACCUUCCUCAACCACCCUGCCCUCAACCGCUGUGAAGAGUGUGAAUUCCCCCGGCAUUUCUGAGCCACACACACACCUAACAUUCUCCACCGGGACACACGUCUGCUGGAGGCUUCUCUAAAGCUCCCUCUUUGCCCCUCAGUGUCAUUGUGUGUUUGUUUGUCUUGUGAUGUCCACUGAAGACUGGAUGAUGUUUACAGCUCUCUUGUCUCUGUACAGUGUGUGUGUUUCUGUGUGUGUGUGUUUCUGUGUGUGUGUGUGUGUGUCGUAUCGUGUGGGAGAUCAAGGGAAAUUUCCCCUCUUGAUCCGUGAAGAGGCUCGUGUUGCCGGUGAUAUUGACACGUUUAUUUCAUCCACACGCGGUUUACAGAUGUGGCUUUGGAUGCCAGUGUGCCUUUUUCAUGGGAACUGAUCGUGACUGCUUUAUCAGUGCUGUUCCCAAAGGAUCAUGGGCGGAAUCUGCUCAACUCACAGUUCUUUUGUUUGAUCAAUGAAAUGCAAAAAAGAAAAGAAAAAAAAACCCCUGCAUGUUUUAGAUGUACAGUUUACAGAGGAGUCUCCGCCACAGAUUUUACUGUACAUAGUUUUAGAACGAGCUUUUCUUUCUCAAGAAUUCACAUGUAUUUCCUGUAAGUAUAGCUUUAUAGACGUCAUUUAUUUCUCUGUUGUUGUUUCGUUUGUUUCUCUCAGAUGAGUAUGGAGCGUUUGUGAGAAGCUAAAGGGAUGCUGAAACAGCGUGCAGCAAACAGUGCUCUGUCAAGCACUCUAUUCAGCGUACGAGCUGCAGACGCAGCAAAACUGAA